Molecule: ribosomal RNA, 1249 nt
Filed under: metagenome
Description: bacterial LSU rRNA
Rfam family: Bacterial large subunit ribosomal RNA
Source: RNAcentral
UAUACGACCGUACCGCAAACCGACACUGGUGCGCGAGAUGAGUAUUCUAAGGCGCUUGAGAGAACUCAGGAGAAGGAACUCGGCAAAUUGACACCGUAACUUCGGAAGAAGGUGUGCCCUAUUAGUGUGUAGUGAACAACGAAGCAUGAAUGGGUUGCAAAAAAUCGGUGGCUGCGACUGUUUAUUAAAAACACAGCACUCUGCAAACACGAAAGUGGACGUAUAGGGUGUGACGCCUGCCCGGUGCUGGAAGAUUAAAUGAUGGGGUGCAAGCUCUUGAUUGAAGUCCCAGUAAACGGCGGCCGUAACUAUAACGGUCCUAAGGUAGCGAAAUUCCUUGUCGGGUAAGUUCCGACCUGCACGAAUGGCGUAACGAUGGCCACACUGUCUCCUCCUGAGACUCAGCGAAGUUGAAAUGUUUGUGAUGAUGCAAUCUCCCCGCGGAAAGACGGAAAGACCCCAUGAACCUUUACUGUAGCUUUGUAUUGGACUUUGAACAGAUCUGUGUAGGAUAGGUGGGAGGCUUUGAAGCAGGGUCGCUAGAUCUUGUGGAGCCAACGUUGAAAUACCACCCUGGUGUGUUUGAGGUUCUAACCUAGGUCCAUUAUCUGGAUCGGGGACAGUGCAUGGUAGGCAGUUUGACUGGGGCGGUCUCCUCCCAAAGCGUAACGGAGGAGUUCGAAGGUACGCUAGUUACGGUCGGACAUCGUGACGAUAGUGCAAUGGCAUAAGCGUGCUUAACUGCGAGACUGACAAGUCGAGCAGAUGCGAAAGCAGGACAUAGUGAUCCGGUGGUUCUGUAUGGAAGGGCCAUCGCUCAACGGAUAAAAGGUACUCUGGGGAUAACAGGCUGAUACCGCCCAAGAGUUCAUAUCGACGGCGGUGUUUGGCACCUCGAUGUCGGCUCAUCUCAUCCUGGGGCUGUAGCCGGUCCCAAGGGUAUGGCUGUUCGCCAUUUAAAGAGGUACGUGAGCUGGGUUUAAAACGUCGUGAGACAGUUUGGUCCCUAUCUUCCGUGGGCGCUGCAGAUUUGAGGAAGCCUGCUCCUAGUACGAGAGGACCGGAGUGGACACACCUCUGGUGUAUCGGUUGUCACGCCAGUGGCAUUGCCGAGUAGCUAAGUGUGGAAGAGAUAACCGCUGAAAGCAUCUAAGCGGGAAACUCGUUUCAAGAUGAGAUCUGCCGGGGCCUUGAGCCCCCUAAAGAGUCGUUCAAGACCAGGACGUUGAUAGGUCAGGUGUGGAAGUAA